GGGGAUGUAGCUCAGUGGUAAGAGUGCUUGCCUAGCACAUGUGAGGCCCUGAGUUCAAUCCCCAGCACCACCA
This is a non-coding RNA of Heterocephalus glaber (naked mole-rat), 73 nucleotides long. Lineage: Eukaryota; Metazoa; Chordata; Mammalia; Rodentia; Bathyergidae. The record is from Rfam.